UACGGGGGGGGCAAGCGUUGUUCGGAAUUACUGGGCGUAAAGGGUUCGUAGGUGGUCUGCUAAGUCAUACGUGAAAUCCCUCAGCUUAACUGGGGAACUGCGUCUGAUACUGGCGGACUUAGGACAGGAGAGGAACGCGGAAUUCCAGGUGUAGCGGUGAAAUGCGUAGAUAUCUGGAGGAACACCGGUGGCGAAGGCGGCGUUCUGGACUGUUUCUGACACUGAGGAACGAAAGCCAGGGGAGCAAACGGG
This 252-nucleotide ribosomal RNA is filed under the name uncultured bacterium. RNAcentral describes it as "partial 16S ribosomal RNA". It matches the Rfam family "Bacterial small subunit ribosomal RNA", at positions 524 to 776 of the family's 1533-position model. The record is from RNAcentral.